Molecule: ribosomal RNA, 222 nt
Organism: Gossypium arboreum
Lineage: Eukaryota; Viridiplantae; Streptophyta; Magnoliopsida; Malvales; Malvaceae
Rfam family: Bacterial large subunit ribosomal RNA
Source: Rfam
CAUAGGCAAUGGCUUGAUUAAGAGAACACACCAGAGCCGUAGCGAAAGCGAGUCUUCAUAGGUCAAUUGUCAUUGCUUAUGGACCCAAACUUGGGUGAUCUAUCCAUGACCAGGAUGAAGCUUAGGUGAAACUAAGUGGAGGUUCGAACCGACUAAUAUUGAAUAAUCAACGAAUGAGUUGUGAUUAGGGGUGAAAUGCCACUCGAACCCAGAGCUAGCUGG